AGACGCUGAGCCGAGCCCUGCAGGGUGCCGAGGGGCAGGCCAGGAGGAGUCUGUGUGAGGUGGGCGGGGCAGAGGGACACAGGGGAUGCGUUGACUCUGUACUGUCAGUGGGACAUCAAGGCAGACUGUCCAGGAGCAGCUGGGUCCAUGGACAAGGUGGCCUCAAAGACUCAGGUGGGACAGGUGCCCCAGGGAGGGCAGUGUCAGGACCACAUUCUCAAGUGACACUGGGGAGGGGACGGGUGAGCGUGGGCAGAGUGAGCGAGGAGGAGAGGUCAGGAAUGGGGAAGUGGUCCACACACGGAACAGGUCAAGUCAGAAGAGAACAAGGCGUGUCUGACUUGGCGACUGGCUGGGGGUGGCCGGAGGGUGGAGGGUGGCUCCAGAGGUCUGAGCACAGGUCAGCCGCUGGAGGAGGGAGUGUCACGGGCGGUCAGCAUGUGGGCCCGUCAGCCACGGGAGUCCCAGGGCCUGAGGGGUGGCAGGGGGCCUGUACCUGGGGUGGGGGGAUGCUGUGCCCAGGUAAUCAGCAAAGGCUGGGCAGAGGGACCUGGGGGCUCACAAGAAGCCUCGGCAGGUCGUACGGGGGGACAAAGCGAGAGGCAGACAGAGCAGGGGGAGAGUGUUUUGAGGAUCCAGGAGAGAGAUGCUGAGGAUCUGAAGAGAGAAAGCAUGAGGCUGGAGAGAGACGGGCUCGGGAGUGUGACGGCCUGAGAUGAGUCACCUAAAAGUUCUCUGGUCCUCACUCUCAGCACCCGUGAGCCUGACCUUGUUAGGAAAUAGGGUCUUUGUAGAUGAUCAAUCAGAAUGAGAUUGCUAGGGUAGACCCUAAUCCAGUGUGACCGGGGUCCUUAUAAGAAGGGGAGAUGAGGACACAGACGCUCACAGAGGGACGACCCUGUGAGGACGCAGGGAGGAGACGGCAUCUACACACCAAGGAGAGAGGCCUCAGGAGGGACCAGCCCUGCCCACACCUGGACCUCGGCCGUCCAGCCUCCAGGACUGGGAGACAGUCAGUACUGGUGGCUUAAGCCCCCUCUGUGGUCCUUUUGCACAGCAGGCCCCGGGACACUGACACAGGGCUUGUGUUAGUCAGGGAAAAGGAGACCAGCUGCUGUAACAAACAGCCCCACACUCAGGAUCUGAGCCCUGCGAGAACCUUGUUCCCACUCCCGUCCAAUUCUCAGGCCAUGGCAGGUGGGGAGGGGCUCUGUAGUCUGCCUGGGACCCCAGGCUCCUCCUCCCCGAGGUCCUCAGAGGCCUGGCUGAUCCUUUGUAUCCAGCAGGCAGGGGAGGGGCGGGGAGACCAUGGGAAGGCUGGGGUCCCACGGCCAGGCCUGGACACAAAUGUCAUCAAGAACUCAGUCUCAUGGCCUCAUCUGUCUGCAAGUGCGUGCCAGGGAAGAAAAGGGAAGCAGUGUUGUGGGUGGCCCGCCAGCUCCGGUCACAGUGACCUACGAGAUUCGGGGGCAAGGGAAUGAGAAGCUGGGGUGCCUUGGGCGCUCUGGGGGUCCAGGUGGGGCCACCAGCAAGCAGAGGCACGAAGCAGGAGCAGGUCAGGGUGGGAGAGGAUUCUGGACGGGGAGGGAAACCCAAGCCGAGGCAUCCAGGGCGGCUGUGUGGUCACAGGCCAAGCUCAGAGACGCUGGGAGGGAGGCGAUCAGAGCGCCACCACAGCGGGGAUGGGCGGGACGUCGGCACGCAGCUUCCCCUCUCUCCCUGCAGCUUCCUGGGGUGCAUCGCUCCGGGGCGUCGCCAGCGUUGUAUGUGUUCUGCCUUGGGAGGAAGGCUGUGGGGUUUGCUGGUUAGCCCCGUACCCCACUCCCUGAUCACAGGCCUCUGGGAAAUGUGUCCUGGAGUCCUGGCGCGGGCACACGAGGAGCGUGAGGAGGAAGCCACGGGUAGGGCCUAGGGACAGAUGGGGACAGGGAGUCCACAAGGGAACUGGGGGGUGGACAGGUCAGAGGGAUGCCAGAAGAAGAUGGACGGAGGGCCAGGUGGGGAGCCAGCCACACUGAGUGGACACACUGAGAGGUCAGGGUCCCUCCUGGGCAGCAUCCAGCUCGGGACUGCAAGAGUUGGCCUCCUCUGCCUGGUCUGCCCGUUGUCGGGACUUUGCUCACCACUCACUUCUGAGGACGCCCAGGCCCCACCUCCAGCCGGGACCCCUGCACCCUGCUGCCUGUGUCUCUCUUCCCUGGGAACCUCCACGGUCCCCAAACUCACCUCCCAGAGUCAGCCCCUCCCCUGCUCUGGGAUGCCUCCCUGGGGAACCUCCCUCUUCCCCCUCGGCCUAGGCCUGGGCGCCCCGUCUGCCUGGUCCACCAAGUCCUGGGGGCUCUGCCUCGUGAAUGUCUCUCGUCCACCAGCUGCCUCCCUCCCAGCAGAUGACUGUGGCUUCUAUGCCUUCUCCCCGCUCCAGCCUCGCCUCCUUACUGCCUAAUCUCCACCCUGCACAGAUCUUUCUAGAAUGCAGAGCCUUCACCACGUGCCAGGUGUGGGGUUACCUGCUUCCCACCAACCGCCCCGUUCGGCCCUCUCUGUGGCUGUGUGGAUGCAGCCUCCCAGCUGUGGACACGAGGGUGGCCCGGGGAGGCCAGUGGCAGAGAGAGGUGGAGGGGUGGAGCCAGGCCCAGAGCGGCGCUGGGUCGGAGGUUUGCUUGCUGGUUUGGUUUGCACAGUCCUCUUACUUCAUUCAUUCAUUCGCUCAUUCAUUCAUUGGAAAAUGUGACCAACACCCAUAAACCCGCUAUCCCGCCCAGGAAUUACAAUGCUUUUCCAGGCCUAUGUGGACUUACGUGCUUCAACCAUCUGCCCCUGCACAGACCCCCACCCCCGGAAUCCCUAUCUAGAAUUUUGUGUUUGUGAAAAUGUUGUGACAUUUUCUUGCCUUUUAAUAAAAAGGGUCAUUUCCCCACA
Equus caballus (horse) is the source of this 2919-nucleotide non-coding RNA. Lineage: Eukaryota; Metazoa; Chordata; Mammalia; Perissodactyla; Equidae. The record is from RefSeq and is a predicted model, not a curated record.